Molecule: ribosomal RNA, 706 nt
Filed under: uncultured bacterium
Lineage: Bacteria
Description: bacterial SSU rRNA
Rfam family: Bacterial small subunit ribosomal RNA
Source: RNAcentral
GGCGGACGGGUGAGUAACGCGUAAGGAACUUGCCUCUUGGUCUGGGACAACUGUUGGAAACGACAGCUAAUACCGGAUAUUAUGAGAUUCUCGCAUGGGAAACUUAUGAAAGCUAUAUGCGCCAAGAGAGAGCCUUGCGUUCCAUUAGCUAGUUGGUGGGGUAACGGCCCACCAAGGCGACGAUGGAUAGCCGGCCUGAGAGGGUGAACGGCCACAAGGGGACUGAGACACGGCCCUUACUCCUACGGGAGGCAGCAGUGGGGAAUAUUGGACAAUGGGCCACAAGCCUGAUCCAGCAAUUCUGUGUGCACGAUGAAGGUCUUCGGAUUGUAAAGUGCUUUCAGUUGGGAAGAAGAAAGUGACGGUACCAACAGAAGAAGCGACGGCUAAAUACGUGCCAGCAGCCGCGGUAAUACGUAUGUCGCAAGCGUUAUCCGGAUUUAUUGGGCGUAAAGCGCGUCUAGGCGGAAAAAUAAGUCUGAUGUUAAAAUGCGGGGCUCAACUCCGUAUUGCGUUGGAAACUGUUUUUCUAGAGUACUGGAGAGGUGGGCGGAACUACAAGUGUAGAGGUGAAAUUCGUAGAUAUUUGUAGGAAUGCCGAUGGAGAAGUCAGCUCACUGGACAGAUACUGACGCUAAAGCGCGAAAGCGUGGGGAGCAAACAGGAUUAGAUACCCUGGUAGUCCACGCCGUAAACGAUGAUCACU